This 301-nucleotide ribosomal RNA is filed under the name uncultured bacterium. Its description in RNAcentral is "partial 16S ribosomal RNA". It matches the Rfam family "Bacterial small subunit ribosomal RNA", at positions 509 to 807 of the family's 1533-position model. The record is from RNAcentral.
CAGCCGCCGCGGGAAUACGUAGGGUGCGAGCGUUAAUCGGAAUUACUGGGCGUAAAGCGUGCGCAGGCGGUUCGUUAAGACAGAUGUGAAAUCCCCGGGCUUAACCUGGGAACUGCAUUUGUGACUGGCGAGCUAGAGUAUGGCAGAGGGGGGUAAAAUUCCACGUGUAGCAGUGAAAUGCGUAGAGAUGUGGAGGAACACCGAUGGCGAAGGCAGCCCCCUGGGCCAAUACUGACGCUCAUGCACGAAAGCGUGGGGAGCAAACAGGAUUAGAUACCCCAGUAGUCCCUGUCUCUUAUAC